Molecule: non-coding RNA, 65 nt
Organism: Araneus ventricosus
Lineage: Eukaryota; Metazoa; Arthropoda; Arachnida; Araneae; Araneidae
Source: the annotation of a GenBank genome assembly
GGGCCAGUGGCGCAACCGCCUGACUACGGAUCAGGAGAUUCCGGGUUCGAAUCCUGGCUGGCUCG